AUUUAUAAAAAAGAAUCAAACUUUGCAUUUUUAUAACAUAUUGGUGCUCAGAAGAAAUAUAUAAUUUCCUAGAUUUAUAAAGUUAUUAACAGAAUGCUGAUGAGGCUUCCAGCAUUGGUUUGCUCCCAUUUUGGUUUUACAUUAUGCAAAGUGACAUACACACCUUCACUAUAUUAAAUUCACAUUUGAAAUUUCUGCUCUUUUAUGUCCUUGUCCUUGAAGUCCAUGUUUGCUGUCCAUGUCGCUUACAUCAAGUACAGCAUCAUGAAAGCAAAUAUCAAAAAAUGUUGUUCGGAAUUGCUUAAUAGUCUUUUUUUUCCAGCACAGACUUGAAGUUGGCUCAUGUUUCUUCAUUAAAUAAUGAGUCUGUAGACUGAUAUGGCACAAGAUAUCUGCCCUGUUCAGAAAGCCAGAAAAAACUUUGAAACUGGAGACAGUUUACAGCUACAGUUAGACUAAGAGAUUAACAUUAUCAAAG
This is a long non-coding RNA of Thalassophryne amazonica, 478 nucleotides long. RefSeq lists it as uncharacterized. The transcript is spliced from 3 exons. The record is from RefSeq and is a predicted model, not a curated record. NCBI's taxonomy places the organism in Eukaryota, Metazoa, Chordata, Actinopteri, Batrachoidiformes, Batrachoididae.